This 584-nucleotide ribosomal RNA is filed under the name uncultured bacterium. RNAcentral describes it as "partial 16S ribosomal RNA". It matches the Rfam family "Bacterial small subunit ribosomal RNA", at positions 355 to 938 of the family's 1533-position model. The record is from RNAcentral.
UGGGGAAUUUUGGACAAUGGGCGAAAGCCUGAUCCAGCAAUGCCGCGUGUGUGAAGAAGGCCUUCGGGUUGUAAAGCACUUUUGUCCGGAAAGAAAUCCUUGGCUCUAAUACAGUCGGGGGAUGACGGUACCGGAAGAAUAAGCACCGGCUAACUACGUGCCAGCAGCCGCGGUAAUACGUAGGGUGCAAGCGUUAAUCGGAAUUACUGGGCGUAAAGCGUGCGCAGGCGGUUUGCUAAGACCGAUGUGAAAUCCCCGGGCUCAACCUGGGAACUGCAUUGGUGACUGGCAGGCUAGAGUAUGGCAGAGGGGGGUAGAAUUCCACGUGUAGCAGUGAAAUGCGUAGAGAUGUGGAGGAAUACCGAUGGCGAAGGCAGCCCCCUGGGCCAAUACUGACGCUCAUGCACGAAAGCGUGGGGAGCAAACAGGAUUAGAUACCCUGGUAGUCCACGCCCUAAACGAUGUCAACUAGUUGUUGGGGAUUCAUUUCCUUAGUAACGUAGCUAACGCGUGAAGUUGACCGCCUGGGGAGUACGGUCGCAAGAUUAAAACUUAAAUGAAUUGACGGGGUCAAGCUGUUUCCU